Molecule: long non-coding RNA, 610 nt
Filed under: Ananas comosus (pineapple)
Lineage: Eukaryota; Viridiplantae; Streptophyta; Magnoliopsida; Poales; Bromeliaceae
Description: long non-coding RNA (ACOM_LNC003239)
Source: RNAcentral
CCUAGAGAGACCUACAAGGUGCACUACAAGAAAAAUGAAUUUUGGCGGCCACUUUUCUGCGGCGACAAGCACUGUCGCCACCUAUGUAGAAGAUAUGGUGGCGACAAAUAAAUGUCGCCGCCAAUACAUAAACAAUGGUGGCGACAAAUAAAUGUCGCCGCCAAUACAUAAACAAUGGUGACGACAAAUAAAUGUCGCCGCGAAUACAUAAACAAUGGUGGCGACUUUUGUCACCGCGGAAUAUUUCCAUACAUCCCGCCUUUUUUUCCCUCCAUUUUUUUACACCAACCAGCACCAUUUUUUUUUGUUGGACUAUUAUGCCCUUACUUAUUCUAUAUAUUAUAUGUGUAAAUAGUUGGACUAUUUUGUCUUUUCACAAAUUAAAAAUAUACAAAUAAUAUGUACUGAGAAAAAAUUCCUAAACCCCAAAUCCCUAAAUCCCUAAAGCCUCUGUCUCUCCCACCGCCCUCCAAAUCCCUAAAGCCUCUGUCUCUCCCACCGCCCCUCAAAGGAUCUUCCAAGGCGAGGCAGCACUACGCCACAAAUUAUUUUUGGUGGCACUAUUUUGGUGGCUCUUUUAAAAAAAGCAAGUAAAAAUUAAUUAUUAGUG